GUUUAUGGCCAUGCCACCCUGAACACGCCCAACCUCCUCUGAUCUUGGAAGCUAAGCAGGGUGGGCCUGGUUAGUACUUGGAUGGGAGACCACCUAGGAAGACCAGGUGCUCUAGGCG
This 118-nucleotide ribosomal RNA is filed under the name Pteropus alecto (black flying fox). The record is from RNAcentral. Lineage: Eukaryota; Metazoa; Chordata; Mammalia; Chiroptera; Pteropodidae.